GCCGACUCAAAAGAGCCUGAUGCCCAGGCAGCCUGGGAGAAAUCCUUGACCCUGAUCCUUGCAGCCAUGGCCGGGUCCAACUAUAUCCA
Molecule: non-coding RNA, 89 nt
Filed under: uncultured Desulfobacter sp.
Lineage: Bacteria; Pseudomonadati; Thermodesulfobacteriota; Desulfobacteria; Desulfobacterales; Desulfobacteraceae
Description: Pyrrolysine insertion sequence mttB
Rfam family: Pyrrolysine insertion sequence mttB
Source: RNAcentral